UAACAUCUAUCAAGCAGCUUGCCGCUGUUUGCAUUGGGCCGUCACAUUGUGUCCAUUCACACUGUGCAGCUCUAAGGUUUGUUGACUGAGUUCUACAGUCUCUCAACUCUUGGGAACCUGUGUGUCCUGGGUUGUCGAUGACAGUUGCAGUCUAGCAAGUUGGGACGAAGACAACUUUGAAUCGUCUCCAACAACAAACACAUUUCAUUUU
Molecule: unclassified non-coding RNA, 211 nt
Filed under: Calocalanus sp. 2012JH170
Lineage: Eukaryota; Metazoa; Arthropoda; Copepoda; Calanoida; Calocalanidae
Description: partial ITS2
Source: RNAcentral